AUUGAACGCUGGCGGCAGGCCUAACACAUGCAAGUCGAACGAGCGGCGGACGGGUGAGUAAUGUAUGGAGAUCUGCCUGAUAGAUGGGGCUAACUACUGGAAACGGUGGCUAAUACCGCAUACUAUCGGAUUGACCCAUCUGGGAUUAUCUCGUAGGUGGGGUAAAGGCUCACCGAGGCGACGCUCUCUAGCUGGUCUGAGAGGAUGAUCAGCCACACUGGGACUGAGAAACGGACCAGACUCGUACGGGAGGCAGCAGUGGGGAAUAUUGCGCAAUGGGCGAAAGAGUGAUGGAGCGAUGCCGCGUGGAUGAAGAAGGCGUUAGGGUUGUAAAGUACUUUCAGCGGGGAGGCGUUAUCCGCAGAAGAAGCAGCGGCUAACUCCGUGCCAGCAGCCGCGGGAAUAC
This 406-nucleotide ribosomal RNA is filed under the name uncultured bacterium. RNAcentral describes it as "partial 16S ribosomal RNA". It matches the Rfam family "Bacterial small subunit ribosomal RNA", at positions 30 to 526 of the family's 1533-position model. The record is from RNAcentral.